This 267-nucleotide ribosomal RNA is filed under the name Triticum aestivum (bread wheat). Its description in RNAcentral is "partial small subunit ribosomal RNA". The record is from RNAcentral. Lineage: Eukaryota; Viridiplantae; Streptophyta; Magnoliopsida; Poales; Poaceae.
AUGGAUGUAAAGCACUGCAAAUUGAGUUUCAAAAGGAAGCUCUUUCGUUCACAUGAUAUUCAGCAUGAUGGCAAAAGCAAGAUCGUUUUCCACAUUCUUUCCAUCUGCAUUAAAAACCCAAGACGUCUUUUCUUCCUGGUAGCGACAAUGCUCUGCUGUUCUACGGCCACCAUUGCUGGAAACAAAUUAAAUUGUUUUGUCUUUAGCGAGAUGCUUACUUCAAUUUUCUUCUCUUCCCUGGAAUCUACCAUCUUUCUUCAUCUUUGA